Molecule: ribosomal RNA, 432 nt
Filed under: uncultured bacterium
Lineage: Bacteria
Description: partial 16S ribosomal RNA
Rfam family: Bacterial small subunit ribosomal RNA
Source: RNAcentral
AACGAACGCUGGCGGCAUGCCUAACACAUGCAAGUCGAACGAGACCUUCGUGUCUAGUGGCGCACGGGUGCGUAACGCGUGGGAACCUGCCCUUAGGUUCGGAAUAACUCCCCGUAAGGGGUGCUAAUACCGGAUAAUGUCUUCGGCCAAAAGAUUUAUCGCCUUUGGAUGGGCCCUCGUUGGAUUAGCUAGUUGGUAGGGUAAAAGCCUGCCAAGGCGGCGAUCCAUAGCUGGUCUGAGAGGAUGAUCAGCCACACUGGGACUGGGACACGGCCCAGACUCGUGCGAGAGGCAGCAGUGGUGAAUCUGGGACAAUGAGCGAGAGCCUGAUCCGGCAAUGCCGCGAGAGUGAUGAAGGCCUUAGGGAUGUAAAGCUCUUUUACCCGGGAUGAUAAGGACAGAACCGGUAGAAAAAGCCCCGGCAAACUCCGG